RNAcentral lists this ribosomal RNA (1361 nucleotides) under Hypoxylon texense. Its description in RNAcentral is "partial large subunit ribosomal RNA". It matches the Rfam family "Eukaryotic large subunit ribosomal RNA", at positions 135 to 1350 of the family's 3401-position model. The record is from RNAcentral. Lineage: Eukaryota; Fungi; Ascomycota; Sordariomycetes; Xylariales; Hypoxylaceae.
GGUCCGAAUUGUAAUUUGUAGAGGAUGCUUUUGGUGCGGUGCCUUCCGAGUUCCCUGGAACGGGACGCCAGAGAGGGUGAGAGCCCCGUACGGUUGGAUACCUAGCCUCUAUAUAGCUCCUUCGACGAGUCGGGUAGUUUGGGAAUGCUGCUCUAAAUGGGAGGUAAAUUUCUUCUAAAGCUAAAUACCGGCCAGAGACCGAUAGCGCACAAGUAGAGUGAUCGAAAGAUGAAAAGCACUUUGAAAAGAGGGUUAAAUAGCACGUGAAAUUGUUGAAAGGGAAGCGUUUGCGACCAGACCUUUUCCGGGCGGAUCAUCCGGUGUUCUCACCGGUGCACUUCGCCCGGUUUAGGCCAGCAUCGGUUUUCGUAGGGGGAUAAAGGCCUGGGGAACGUAUCUCCUUCGGGAGUGUUAUAGCCCCUCGCGUAAUACCCUUACGGGGACCGAGGACCGCGCUCUGCAAGGAUGCUGGCGUAAUGGUCGUCAACGACCCGUCUUGAAACACGGACCAAGGAGUCGAACAUUUGUGCGAGUGUUUGGGUGUUAAACCCUCACGCGUAAUGAAAGUGAACGGAGGUGAGAGCCCUUCGGGGUGCAUCAUCGACCGAUCCUGAUGUCUUCGGAUGGAUUUGAGUAAGAGCAUAACUGUUCGGACCCGAAAGAUGGUGAACUAUGCGUGGAUAGGGUGAAGCCAGAGGAAACUCUGGUGGAGGCUCGCAGCGGUUCUGACGUGCAAAUCGAUCGUCAAAUCUGCGCAUGGGGGCGAAAGACUUAUCGAACCAUCUAGUAGCUGGUUACCGCCGAAGUUUCCCUCAGGAUAGCAGUGUUGUUUUCAGUUUUAUGAGGUAAAGCGAAUGAUUAGGGACUCGGGGGCGCUUUAUUGCCUUCAUCCAUUCUCAAACUUUAAAUAUGUAAGAAGCCCUUGUUACUUAGUUGAACGUGGGCAUUCGAAUGUAUCAACACUAGUGGGCCAUUUUUGGUAAGCAGAACUGGCGAUGCGGGAUGAACCGAACGUGGGGUUAAGGUGCCAGAGUGGACGCUCAUCAGACACCACAAAAGGUGUUAGUACAUCUAGACAGUUGGUAUGUACUAAUCUUUUCUUUCACCCCCUAAGGGUCCUAAAGGUUUCGAGGGGAUGGCCAGAUGCAAACUCUUCAUCGUGCCUUUAGGCACCCUGUGGCCUGAACUGAAGGAUCAAUGGACCUAAAGGUCUUUGUAUUUUUAACGAAAUUAAAUCACUAACAAUUUUCAUAGGACGGUGGCCAUGGAAGUCGGAAUCCGCUAAGGACUGUGUAACAACUCACCAACCGAAUGUACUAGCCCUGAAAAUGGAUGGCGCUCAAGCGUCUCACCCAUACCUC